GGUAAGCAAAGACAAACUCUUACAAGAAUGUCCUGGGUCCCGAUGGUUUUGGGCAUCCUUACUGCUUUAGUUACAGUUGUGGCCAUGACACUCAUCUUUCUUAGAAAAAGAAGAAAAGAAACUCGCUUUGGGUAUGACACCUCUUUCUUGAGAUACAAAACAGUGAUAUAUUAAAAUUGUAUACUGUAUAUUUAAAGGAACCCCUAAACACUUGACUACUUAGAGGGGCAAGGGGCCAGAGCACUCCUGGCAUUAUAAGCACUACAGAAAGUUCUACUGGUUAUGGUACUUGGAGUGUUAAUUUAAGGACUGCAGUAGAAGUAUUAGUUGUACAAUUAAUUUAAGUGCAUGCAUUCAUGCUUUAUGAUGAUGACUAGCCUUGUGUCACCAAAUGUUUUGGUUUUAAAUUUAGUAAAGGAUAUACCUAGAAUAGGACCUUGUUGAAGUUCGUGAUUCCAAAGUUGCUUUAAAUGUGUCAGAGAUUUGGGACUUAAUGUGCAUUACUUGCUGCUCGACAUCAUCACUGAUUUGCUUCCCAGUACAUUUUUGCAUUAUGUCUACAAUCUAGAAAAAUAGUAAUUCCAUAUUUUUGCAUCCUUAAAGCUUUUUAAAUAGGAACCGUCACUUCCAAGAAUUUUUUAUAUCAUGUACACCCUAUUCCAAAUUAUUAUGCAAAUGAUAUUUUUCUCAUUUACCUAAAUAAUUGAUGUAAAUAACAGUCAGCAUAAUUCUCAUGUUAUCAACUAUUAAGAGUACAAUUCAAAUUUUAUUGAACAAACCUCCUAAUGAUAACAGUAUUUUUUUUAAACAUAAAAAACUUACAAUGCACUGUUCCAAUGCACUGUUCCAAAUUAUUAAGCAUAGUAAGUUUCAAAACACUUUAUAGGUUGUAAAGAACUGAAAAUUGUCAUUUGUUGUGUUGGCAGCAUAUUUACUGAAAUCAAAAGCUAUUUCAAUCAAACUUAUAACAACAUUUUAACAGGUCAUGUUACAUUUUAACAUAGGACCCCUUAUUUGAUAGCAGCUUCGCAAGUCUUGCAUCCAUUGAACUUGUGAGUUUUUGGACAGUUUCUGCUUGAAUUUGUUUGCAAGAUGUCAGAAUAGCCUCCCAGAGCUGCUCUUUGGAUGUAAACUGCCUCCCACCUUCAUAGAUCUUUUGCUUGAGGAUGCUCCAAAGGUUCUCAAUAGUAUUGAGGUCAGGGGAGGAUGGAGGCCACACCAUGACUUUCUCUCCUUUUAUCACCAUAGCAGCUAUUGAUGCAGAGGUAUUCUUUGCAGCAUGAGAUGGUGCAUUGUCAUGCGUGAAAUGUACCAGGGAAGAAAGUGGUCAGUCAGAAACUCCACAUACUUUGCAGAGGUCAUCUUUACACCUUCAGGGACCCUAAAGGAGCCGACCAGCUCUCUUCCCAUGAUUCUGGCCCAAAACAUGACUCCACCACCGCCUUGCUGACGUCGCAGCCUUGUUGGAACAGGGUGGCCGUGUGUAAUGGUAUUUUAACAGCUGCUCUCUUGAUCCGAUGGAUGGAUCUGGCAGAAAUCUUCCUCAAUGUGCCUUUAUCUGCACGAACAUGUCUGUGCUCUGAAUAGUGCGAUGAUCACGCUUAAGUUUUCGUGAAAUAUCUAAUGUUUUCAUAUCUCAUCCAAAGCAUUAAACUAUGGUGCUCUGCUUAAUAAUAUGGAACACCCUCCUAGUUUUCCCUUAAAUUGGGCUCACCUGGCAAUCUAAUUAUCACAGGUGUCCGAGAUUGUUUUCAAUGAUAAAAAGAGCCCUGAGACACAAUGCCAUCCAUGAGUUAAACUGAAAAACAAAGUAUUUAAUCUUUAUGACACUUAAAUAGAAUUUGCAUAAUAAUUUGAAACAGAGUGUAUGUUUAUCACUAUAUUUAACAAAUACAUAUUAGUAAGGUGUGAAAUAAUAAAUUCAGUGUAAAUUCACACCUCCUUAUUGUCACAUACUGUCAGGAUUACUAGUUGAUCCAGCAUGUAGAAUUGUGUCACCGAGCCUUAGGAUGGCCGGACUUAACGUAUUAAAGAGUCGUCAGGAUACUUGCCUAGGUCAGGGGAUACAGAAAGAGACACAACGAAAAGGGAAAGCCAGAAGUCAGGGAUACCAGAAUACAGGAAAGUCAAAGCCAAAGUCAAAAACCAGAAAAUCCUUGAAUAAGGAACGCACUCUCGGACAACCACUAGGGAAACCUCGACAGGGCAAUGAGGAAAGGUAAUUUUGGGUUUAAAUACCUGCUUUACCUUUCUGAUUGGCCGAGAUCGAUCUUUGACCCCAAAACGUGCGUGUGUGGCGCGUGCAUGACGUCGCGCGCAUGCCGACGUUGUCAAUCACCUGAGCAGACGUGGGGGUUUAAUUGGAUCCCCAGUGGCCGGCGUCCAUUAGCAUGCCGCAAGUGUCAGUCAUGCAGAUGCACAGCCGCUGAGUGCAGAGACCGCAAGGUGAGGAAGACUAUGUUACAUUACCCCCCACCUGAAGACCACCCACCAGACAGGCAAGACCAGGCUUGAGAGGAAAUUUAGCAUGAAAAUAGCUGAUCUUGUGGCAAGCAUGUAAGUCAGAGGCCGGAACCCAAGAACAGUCGGCAGGCCCAUAACCCUUACAAACAACUAAGUACUGCAAAGUGCCCCGAGAAAACCUGGAAUCAAUUAUGGAGGAGACCUCAUACUCCUCCUGUCCAGAAACAACCAAGGGAGGAGGGGGGAUGCAUGGGACAGUAUCCAUACAAAAAGAGAAAGGUUAUAGCACACAAACACAGUAAUAUUUAAAAUAAAAAUAUAAAGUAAAAAUAUAGGUCCGGGAGGGCCAGAGAAUAUGACACAGGGUUAAUUCCCCGAAGGAUACAAAUGGGGCCCAGGAAUCUGGAUGCAAACAUCAUACUAGGUAUGGCCGGCGUCCAUUAGCAUGCCGCAAGUGUCAGUCAUGCAGGCGCAGAGACCGCAAGGUGAGGAAGAAUAUGUUACACAUACUUACUUUUAAUCGGCGCCCGCGCUGCUCCUCUCCUCGGGCCGCGAGGCCCAAAUGCUGCACGUGGCCACACAGCCUGAAUAGAAUACUUCUGCUGGUUUUCGGGAUGAACUGCAACCUCUAGAAAUAAUAUAUGAAGCCAUGACAUCAUUACCUUAAAUGGACCACGUUGUCUAAGCGAUCCAAUGCUGUUUGGGCUCGCUUAGAUGAAGUGAACCAAUGGGAACUCUUUUGAGCCUAUUUAGAUCCCCAUUUAGUGCUCCUAGCGAUUCCCUUGUGAUUUCCUGUGUUUGAUCUUGCCUUCGUAUUUGACUCCUGAUUUAUGGUAUCCUGAUCCCGGCAUCGUAUUUGACUCCUGAUUGCUGGAAUCCUGACCCCGGCUUCGUUUUUGACUCAUGAUUUUUGGUAUCCUGACCCGGCUAUGUAUUUGACUCGUUAUUUUCUGGUAUCCUGACCCGGCUUUGUCUUGACUGAGUAUUUUUGCAAUCCUCACCUUGAUUUAUCGUGACCCUGUUUCUUGUUGUAUUAAUAUGUUAAGUCCGGCUAUUCUAAAGUUCGGUAAUACGUCUUUCAAAUCUACUUUUUGUGGGUUUCCUCUUUCCUGUGUGUUGGGGUACAACUCCCGUGACACUUAUCCUAUUUCCUUAUAUCUCAUCUCCCUCUCUUGCUCUUCCUCUCACUAAUAUUUUCAAUAUCUCCCUUUUCUCCGGCACAUUUCCUUGACCCUUAAAGCAUAACGCCGAUUCUGAAAAGCCCAACCUUGACCCCAACUCCCCAUCCAACUACCGCCCUAUAUCGCUACUGUCUUUUGCAUUCAAGAUCCUUGAGAGAGUUGUGUAUGCGAGAUUGACAGACUUCCUCGAAUCCAACUCUCUGCUUGACCCGCUUCAUUCUGGAUUCUGCGCUCGUCACUCUGUUGAAACAGCUGUGACCAAAGUAUCCAACUAUUUAAUCGCUGCCAUUACUCUUUCCUAAUUCUCCUUGAUCUUUCUAAUGCCUUUUAAACUGUUGAUCAUCAACAGCUUCUUCUUAUUCUCCGUAAUCUCAGUCUUUGGGAUAUUGCUCUCUCCUGGUGCUCCUCCAAUCUCUUCCAGACUUUUUUCAGUGUUUCUUUCUCUGGCUCUGUCUCUUCUCCCCAACUCCUCUCUGUUGGCGUUCCCCAAGGUUCUGUCCUUGGUCCCCUACUGUUCUCUAUCUAUACUGCCUCCAUCGGUAAACUCAUCAGCUCCUUUGACUUCCAUGAUCAUUUAUAUGAAAAAUAUAAAUGUAUGUUUGCACUCAAACCUGCAGAAGGAUGCAGGUAUCAGGGUUACCCACCUAUAUUAACCCCAACAUGAAAAUAUAAAAAAUUAAAAAAAGGAAUGAUACCACACUCCAAAAUAUUGCUCAAAAAAUCAAAAAUGAUUUAAUGGAUAGUGUAAACAAAAAUAUUAAAGGCAAUCAAUUCACAUGAAAAUUCAUCUAUAUACACAAAUAUUUCAUUGGUAAAAAAAAAAAACCUGAAUUCAUAUUACAUACACUAUUGGCUGUACAAGUAUCAUAUAUAUAGAUAAAAAAACAACAAUAGUUUAUCCCAAAGUCUUGAUCAUGAAAAAUUAUGUACAAAAAUCAGAGCAAAUUCAUCAAAAUAUUUUUGGGGAAUAGUUCAUCAAACCUGGAUCCUGGCCCUGUUAUGGAUCGAAGUUAAGCAAAAUAUGCUUGUGAUACAUCCUACCAUACCCCGUACUAAAUAUAAGGAAAAUAGUCCUGCCUAAAAUGGUAGCAGAGUCUCUAUAAAAGACAAAAAAUAAUUAAUUACUGCAGGAAACAAAAAUGUGGAAAAAAUCCGCAAAAAAAAGUCUCUAUAUGUAAGAUCUUCUGAGUACUCAAAAAGAAAAUAAAGAAAAUAUGUAAAAAAGAUUGUUAGGAUCUCACCAAAUUCAGUUGAAGCAGGGUAUUUGAAUGUUGAAGUAGCAGGUAGUGUGUGUCAUAAAGACCAUUCACUUCAACAAGCUCAUAAGGGAUAUCCGUUUGAACGUAAGUAAUCCCUCUGUGUACGUUGUGCGUUGUAUGUGGAUUUGCUCCAGGUCCAGUUAACUGGGGGGCUGCACGCUCGGGAUCAUCUUCCCUUCAAAGGCUCUUUGAAGGGAGGAUGAUCCCGAGCGCGCAGUCCACCGGUGAACUGGACCUGGAUCAAAUUUCCUAUCCGCCCACACCUCCCACGCCUCCCCCCUCUGCUAGUCCCUACAUUGGCUUCCAGUUAGAUAUAAGGCUCAAUUUAAGAUUUUGGUGAUUCAUUUUAAGUUCCUACCUAAUGCUGCUCUAAUCUACCUAUUCUCCCUAAUACACAAAUAUGUCCCGUCAAGGCCCCUGUGCUCUGGCGAAGACCUACGCCUAUCCUCUGACUGUACUCCCACAUCUGAUGCUCGUCUCCAAGACUUCUCCAGGGCUGCACUGUUUCUGUGGAACUACCUUCCCUUCUCCGUUAGACUUUUGCCCAGUCUCCACUCCUUCAAAAAAUCUUUGAAAACACACUUCUUCAGAAUCAUUUAAACUGUUAACGGGUUUUUAUCCCCCUCCAUGACUCCUCUUCUUCAACUGUCAAAAAUAACCUGUUAAGUUCUCAUUGAUUACUUUUUAAGCAACCUAUAUCAUUACCCCUACUUAUGCCCUUUGUGUCACUAUACCCCACUCCCUCUAGCAUCUAAGCUCAUUGAGCAGGGCACUCAACCCCUCCGUUCCUGUGCGUCCAUUUGUCUGGCUACAAUUCGGUGUCUGUUAUUCCACCCAUUGUACAGUACUACGGAUUUUGCUGGCGCUAUAUAAAUAAUAAUAAUAAUAAUAAUAAUAACCGGGCACCUCAAUCUUGGCUCAUAGAGAAGCUUUGGAUUGGACCAUUAACCUGGCACAGGGCACAUGCACGCACUCUGAGCUGGCAAGAGGGGUGUGAGGAGGAAGGAAGUCUGCAAAAAUAUUUGAACAAUGUGACCAGGAGGCAAGAGCAAGGGGACACAUAAGACUCCUCUCACAGAAAACAAGGGAAUAAUCAAAUUACGUCUAUUGCCAUCAUUCUGUCCGGGCUGUCAACAGAUAUAAAAUAUGCACAGAAUUGACAUUAGCAUGGAACAGAGUUCUUGGCUGCCAAUGUCAUGUGUGCUGGGGGUUCAACUAGCUGCCGGCACACAAGUGCAAAUUACACUGUAUGUAAUUUGCUGCACAUCCAGUCUCCUACCACCAUGACCACUUCUAAAAGCAAAAGUGGUCAUGGAUGUUGGAGUAACCCUUUAAUAAUGAUUUAAAGGAAAAUGGUGCCUCUCAUGAAAUAAAGAUUAAUACGUUUUAGGUGAUUUAGAAUUUUUUAUUCAAAGAUGUAAAUUACAAAGAAGUGACAGUUCACCUUUAAAACACUUUGAGUCUGGUACCUGUUAGAAUGUGUUUUUUAUUAUAUAUCUUUUUGUCACUUAGAAACAUGUUUGGCUCCGUUUUGGGUAGAGGAGGACCAGUUAUCCAGUUCACAGCUGCUCGGUCUUUUAACAGAAGAGGCACAGAGUUAAUGGAAGCAACAU
This is a non-coding RNA of Pelobates cultripes (western spadefoot toad), 6516 nucleotides long. The record is from the annotation of a GenBank genome assembly. NCBI's taxonomy places the organism in Eukaryota, Metazoa, Chordata, Amphibia, Anura, Pelobatidae.